CCUACGGGUGGCAGCAGUCGAGAAUCAUUCACAAUGGGGGAAACCCUGAUGGGGCGACGCCGCGUGGGGGAAUGAAGGUCUGCGGAUUGUAAACCCCUGUCAUGUGGGAGCAAAUUAAAAAGAUAGUACCACAAGAGGAAGAGACGGCUAACGCUGUGCCAGCAGCCGCGGUAAUACAGAGGUCUCAAGCGUUGUUCGGAAUCACUGGGCGUAAAGCGUGCGUAGGCUGUUUCGUAAGUCGUGUGUGAAAGGCGCGGGCUCAACCCGCGGACGGCACAUGAUACUGCGAGACUAGAGUAGUGGAGGGGGAAGCGGAAUUCUCGGUGUAGCAGUGAAAUGCGUAGAUAUCGAGAGGAACACUCGUGGCGAAGGCGGGUUCCUGGACAUUAACUGACGCUGAGGCACGAAAGCCAGGGGAGCGAAAGGGAUUAGAUACCCCAGUAGUC
Molecule: ribosomal RNA, 446 nt
Filed under: uncultured bacterium
Lineage: Bacteria
Description: partial 16S ribosomal RNA
Rfam family: Bacterial small subunit ribosomal RNA
Source: RNAcentral